This 67-nucleotide transfer RNA is filed under the name Potomida littoralis. RNAcentral describes it as "tRNA-Glu". It matches the Rfam family "tRNA". Rfam says of the family: Transfer RNA (tRNA) molecules are approximately 80 nucleotides in length. Their secondary structure includes four short double-helical elements and three loops (D, anti-codon, and T loops). Lineage: Eukaryota; Metazoa; Mollusca; Bivalvia; Unionida; Unionidae. The record is from RNAcentral.
GUUAACUUAGUGAAAAACUUACACGUCGGACUUUCAAGCCGAAAACACUAAUCAACAGUAGUUAACC